CUGCGUCUACCACAAACUCCUGGGAUCCCAUCAUCUGCAAAGAUUUAUUUGCCUCAUCUAAUACAUAGACAUAUAUACAUGGACUCCUCUUGUUAUAUCCAGAUAGCAAAUUGUAUCCUCACCCUUUCACCGAAAUAUGCAAUCUUCUUCCCUGGUUUAUUGGCGUAACAUGAUUAUGGCACACAGGGUUAAUCUAUACUUCUGUUUUAAAGUUACAGGCUUACCUCUCUGAAAUAACUUCCUUCAUAUUAAUUUGCACCUGCAAUGGAUGGCAUGAAUUUUGCUUUCAUCGUCGAGCCGAAGAGAGCCGCUGCCGCAAGCUUUAUUGGAGACCAUCAGGAGAAGCAAAUGGAGCAGGCAGUGAACUUUCGACGGCGAAAAAAUACGGGUUGGAUGCCACAAGAUUUGUUGCUGUUUGUGGUUACAAAUGUCAAUUUGGUCAUGUUUCUUGACUUUUGAUUUUUUACAGUUUGUUGUGUCACCCCGUCUAAAGAUGCCCGUCACUGCCGUCCACCUCAUGUGAGGUGGACAAGCACUUUGUCCACGUUUUUCUAUUUCUCCCCAAUGAAGCAUAAGAACUGUCAUAUAUAGUUGUUCUCAUAAGCUCUAAAAAAGGCAAUGAGCAACAAAAACACAUAUUCUGAUUCCAAAUUUAGCUUAGUAAUAUAGCUGGUUGCAAGAUAAUAUAUAUGGUGUUUUUCAAUAAUUCAAGUGCAAACCUUUUAUGUGCUAGGAAUUAUAGUAGCUAGCAAUAAGCCAGAUGUCCUUGCAAUCUUACCUUAUUUGUAUUUCAUAUCAGAUGCAACCAUCAGGUUUAUCUUGGCUCUACUAUGCUUAAUUAAGUGGCUUAGGUUCUCAUGAUUAUUGGGCCUUCUACGGGAUCAUGUUGCCAUUUCAUUGAGGUACCCGGCCGCCCGUAUCAACUUUACAACCGCGGGGUUGCCGUGGCAGAAAAAAUCCCCACCGGUAAGAUCCCCUUUUGUUUCCAUGUGCGCCUUCUGCCGCAUUUUUUCUCCUGGGCUUUUAACUCCCGCCCGUCGUCGAUAGCUUCCUUGGACGCGUGAGCAUGUCCGCUCACUGCAGCCACUCCACCACCGGCAGAUCCCAUCGCAUCGCGCAAGAACUGUAGCAACACUGCACCGGCUGGGACUGAAUCCAAAACUGUUUUCGCUAUACUAUGAUUUGCCGAUGUAGUAUGAGAAUAUGUGAUUUGCCCAUGUAGUAUGAGAAUAUGUGACUUGCCCAGGUUGUAUGAUUAGCUUUAUUUUUAUUAUGAAGAAUUAGAUUCACCUAAGACUGAAUCAAAAACAGUUGUUCGCUAUUACUGUGAACGAUUUGAUAUGCUUAUGUGAUUUGCACAGCCAGUAUGAGAAUAUGUCCCCAUUACUAUAGCAUGUGUGCUCUGCUCAUUAUCUUGCUUGUUGAAUAUGUUCCCAUGGACUGCACGUCUCUGAAGGAUCUUUCUCGGAAUUCCUACCGAUGAAAGAUUAUGGUACGAUUCGCCAGGAUCUGCGAGUUUAGGAGCCCAGAUAAAAGAACUCUCUACUCGCUUGACUUCGUUGUUGUUGAU
Long non-coding RNA from Lolium rigidum, 1570 nucleotides. RefSeq lists it as uncharacterized. Lineage: Eukaryota; Viridiplantae; Streptophyta; Magnoliopsida; Poales; Poaceae. The record is from RefSeq and is a predicted model, not a curated record. The transcript has 4 exons.